RNAcentral lists this long non-coding RNA (1270 nucleotides) under Canis lupus familiaris (dog). RNAcentral's name for it is "lncRNA (ENSCAFG00040002111.1)". Lineage: Eukaryota; Metazoa; Chordata; Mammalia; Carnivora; Canidae. The record is from RNAcentral.
CACAUAUUUCAAAAUGAAAAGGUUAAUUAAAAAAUUAAAAACAAAAAGUUAAAAAAACAGGGGGAAAGCAGAGGAAAUGAGGACACAUAGUUUCACCGCGGCAUGGUAUUUGGGUCAAGGAAUGAAUCAAGACCAUAUUCGUAAGUUUAAUUACGAGUGGAGCCUAAGAUGAUCCACUCGGGGAUGAACAUGUACACGCCUCCCAAGGCAGCAUGCGUCACACCCAUCAUUUUCACAGAACGAGAGGGCUCUGCUUGUAUCCUAGUACCUGCACGGCCACCACACCAGCCCAAACACGACAAGAGGAAUGGCUUUGUACUUCCAGGCCGUGUUGUGGUGGCAUCUGAAAUCCCAAGGACUGACAUGACACCUCAUUGAGCUGCUAUGAAUUGUGCAUCGUGACCUUGGGAAAUAUGUUGGCGGCAGCACUUCCGUCUCGCUGACACACCUCUCCCCAGACACAGUCCUCAGGCAACAGUCUGGUGAGAUAGGCGGGCGGCUGGACUGGAAAUGAAAACGUCUUCCCUAAAAGAGAACUUUGUGUGGCCUGUUAAUUUAUAGCUUCCUCCGGAGUCUUACUUCUUUUCCAGACAGACAGACAAGUAGAGCAGCUUCAGAGUCUAGAAUGAGACAAAUUUCAUAUUCAGGCUAGCAUCUUUUUGGUCUUAGAAAAAUUUUAUCAGUGGAUUGUGAAAUAGUCAUCUCUGCUUUACAUCUAAAUCAUGCCAAAGGAAGGGUAGGGCUCAGAACCUCCUGAAUUGUGUUUUGCAUUAAUCAGGCUCACCUUGGGAACCAAAAUUCAGCACUUUUUUUUUUUUUUUAAAUCGAAGCAAUGAAUGAUCGGAGCCAUCCCUUUGCGCGUAUAAAGAGGUCCACAUCAUUGGAGAGACCAUGGCUAGACCUGGAAAAACAGCUUUGCAUUGUUUGGGCAAAGCAAUGCCAAAUCAUUCUCUCCCUCCUCUCCUCCUUCUGCAGGUACUGCCCGAAGCCCUCCCGCUCUCCUGUCACCCACGUCACUUUGCAUAACUGCUCCCUGUGUCACCUGCGAAUGGUCUCACCUUCUCCCCCUCACGGCAGAGCUCUUGAGGGGGCACAAAAGCCGCAGAUGUCCAAGGUCAGCCUUCUGAGCGAGAUGGAACUGCCCUCUCACAUGCCAUUGUCACCUGGAAGCCCUGAUUGGCCUUGUCACCGCAGGGAGGCCAGAGCCACGCCGUUGGGGGCACAGAAACAGCUUGAUCAACUGAGAGUGACAAUGGGAAAGACCUACUGA